UCUCCGGAGCACGCCGCGUGAGUGAUGAAGGCUUUCGGGUCGUAAAACUCUGUUGUUAGGGAAGAACAAGUGCUAGUUGAAUAAGCUGGCACCUUGACGGUACCUAACCAGAAAGCCACGGCUAACUACGUGCCAGCAGCCGCGGUAAUACGUAGGUGGCAAGCGUUAUCCGGAAUUAUUGGGCGUAAAGCGCGCGCAGGUGGUUUCUUAAGUCUGAUGUGAAAGCCCACGGCUCAACCGUGGAGGGUCAUUGGAAACUGGGAGACUUGAGUGCAGAAGAGGAAAGUGGAAUUCCAUGUGUAGCGGUGAAAUGCGUAGAGAUAUGGAGGAACACCAGUGGCGAAGGCGACUUUCUGGUCUGUAACUGACACUGAGGCGCGAAAGCGUGGGGAGCAAACAGGAUUAGAUACCCUGGUAGUCCACGCCGUAAACGAUGAGUGCUAAGUGUUAGAGGGUUUCCNCCCNUUANUGCUGAAUUAACGCAUUAAGCACUCCNCCUGGGGAGUACGGCCNCAAGNCUGAAACUCAAGGAAUUGACGGGGGNCCCCNCAANCGGUGGAACAUGUGG
Molecule: ribosomal RNA, 568 nt
Filed under: Bacillus cereus
Lineage: Bacteria; Bacillati; Bacillota; Bacilli; Caryophanales; Bacillaceae
Description: bacterial SSU rRNA
Rfam family: Bacterial small subunit ribosomal RNA
Source: RNAcentral